RNAcentral lists this small nuclear RNA (138 nucleotides) under Phytophthora infestans T30-4. RNAcentral's name for it is "U2 spliceosomal RNA". It matches the Rfam family "U2 spliceosomal RNA", at positions 39 to 185 of the family's 192-position model. Rfam says of the family: U2 is a small nuclear RNA (snRNA) component of the spliceosome (involved in pre-mRNA splicing). Complementary binding between U2 snRNA (in an area lying towards the 5' end but 3' to hairpin I) and the branchpoint sequence (BPS) of the intron results the bulging out of an unpaired adenosine, on the BPS, which initiates a nucleophilic attack at the intronic 5' splice site, thus starting the first of two transesterification reactions that mediate splicing. Lineage: Eukaryota; Oomycota; Peronosporomycetes; Peronosporales; Peronosporaceae. The record is from RNAcentral.
UCUGUUUUAAUCAGUGUGAAAACUGGUUUUCGCCUUUUGGUGGACUUUUUCACUCGCAUUUUUGGGCAAUCGUCUGCGGCUAGCUUGCUAGCGGCGGACGAGCGGUCUCCGGGGGCGUACACCUUUCCCCCGAGGCCA